UAGAGACCGGCGCACGGGUGCGUAACGCGUAUGCAAUCUACCUUUUACAGAGGGAUAGCCCAGAGAAAUUUGGAUUAAUACCUCAUAGUAUUAUGAAAUGGCAUCAUUUUAUAAUUAAAGUCACAACGGUAAAAGAUGAGCAUGCGUCCCAUUAGCUAGUUGGUAAGGUAACGGCUUACCAAGGCUACGAUGGGUAGGGGUCCUGAGAGGGAGAUCCCCCACACUGGUACUGAGACACGGACCAGACUCCUACGGGAGGCAGCAGUGAGGAAUAUUGGACAAUGGGCGCAAGCCUGAUCCAGCCAUGCCGCGUGCAGGAUGACGGUCCUAUGGAUUGUAAACUGCUUUUAUACGAGAAGAAACACUGCUUCGUGAAGCAGCUUGACGGUAUCGUAAGAAUAAGGAUCGGCUAACUCCGUGCCAGCAGCCGCGGUAAUACGGAGGAUCCAAGCGUUAUCCGGAAUCAUUGGGUUUAAAGGGUCCGUAGGCGGUUUGGUAAGUCAGUGGUGAAAGCCCAUCGCUCAACGGUGGAACGGCCAUUGAUACUGCCAGACUUGAAUUAUUAGGAAGUAACUAGAAUAUGUAGUGUAGCGGUGAAAUGCUUAGAGAUUACAUGGAAUACCAAUUGCGAAGGCAGGUUACUACUAAUGGAU
Molecule: ribosomal RNA, 653 nt
Filed under: Flavobacterium sp.
Lineage: Bacteria; Pseudomonadati; Bacteroidota; Flavobacteriia; Flavobacteriales; Flavobacteriaceae
Description: bacterial SSU rRNA
Rfam family: Bacterial small subunit ribosomal RNA
Source: RNAcentral